UACGUAGGGGGCUAGCGUUGUCCGGAAUCAUUGGGCGUAAAGCGCGUGUAGGCGGCCCGGUAAGUCCGCUGUGAAAGUCGGGGGCUCAACCCUCGGAUGCCGGUGGAUACUGUCGGGCUUGAGUACGGAAGAGGCGAGUGGAAUUCCUGGUGUAGCGGUGAAAUGCGUAGAGAUCCGGAGGAACACCGAAGGCGAAGGCAGUGUCCUGGCGCGUAACUGACGCUGAGGUGCGAAAGCCAGGGGAGCGAACGGG
RNAcentral lists this ribosomal RNA (253 nucleotides) under uncultured bacterium. RNAcentral describes it as "partial 16S ribosomal RNA". It matches the Rfam family "Bacterial small subunit ribosomal RNA", at positions 524 to 776 of the family's 1533-position model. The record is from RNAcentral.